RNAcentral lists this ribosomal RNA (254 nucleotides) under uncultured bacterium. Its description in RNAcentral is "partial 16S ribosomal RNA". It matches the Rfam family "Bacterial small subunit ribosomal RNA", at positions 524 to 776 of the family's 1533-position model. The record is from RNAcentral.
AACGUAGGGUGCGAGCGUUGUCCGGAAUUAUUGGGCGUAAAGAGCUCGUAGGCGGUGUGUCGCGUCGGCCGUGAAAACCUGCAGCUUAACUGUGGGCUUGCGGUCGAUACGGGCAUCACUGGAGUUCGGCAGGGGAGACUGGAAUUCCUGGUGUAGCGGUGAAAUGCGUAGAUAUCAGGAGGAACACCUGUGGCGAAAGCGGCUCACUGGACCAUAACUGACGCUGAUGCACGAAAGCGUGGGGAUCAAACAGG